UACGUAGGGGGCAAGCGUUGUCCGGAAUCAUUGGGCGUAAAGAGCGCGUAGGCGGCCCAGUAAGUCCGCUCUGAAAGUCAGGGGCUCAACCCCUGAAUGCGGGUGGAUACUGCUGGGCUAGAGUCCGGAAGAGGCGAGUGGAAUUCCUGGUGUAGCGGUGAAAUGCGCAGAUAUCAGGAGGAACACCGAUGGCGAAGGCAGCUCGCUGGGACGGUACUGACGCUGAGGCGCGAAAACGUGGGGAGCAAACAGG
RNAcentral lists this ribosomal RNA (253 nucleotides) under uncultured bacterium. Its description in RNAcentral is "partial 16S ribosomal RNA". It matches the Rfam family "Bacterial small subunit ribosomal RNA", at positions 524 to 776 of the family's 1533-position model. The record is from RNAcentral.